AACGAACGCUGGCGGCAGGCUUUACACAUGCAAGUCGAGCGAACCCCUCGGGGUGAGCGGCAGACGGGUGAGGAACACGUGGGAAUAUACCUUUUAGUAUGGAAUAACUCAGGGAAACUUGUGCUAAUACCAUAUACGCCCUUUCAAGGGGAAAGAUUUAUCGCUAAAAGAUUAGCCCGCGUCUGAUUAGCUAGUUGGUGAGGUAAUGGCUCACCAAGGCGACGAUCAGUAGCUGGUCUGAGAGGAUGAUCAGCUACAUUGGGACUGAGACACGGCCCAAACUCCUACGGGAGGCAGCAGUGGGGAAUAUUGGACAAUGGGCGAAAGCCUGAUCCAGCCAUGCCGCGUGAGUGAUGAAGGCCUUAGGGUUGUAAAACUCUUUUACCCGGGAAGAUAAUGACUGUACCGGGAGAAUAAGCUCCGGCUAACUUCGUGCCAGCAGCCGCCGUAA
RNAcentral lists this ribosomal RNA (451 nucleotides) under uncultured bacterium. RNAcentral's name for it is "partial 16S ribosomal RNA". It matches the Rfam family "Bacterial small subunit ribosomal RNA", at positions 29 to 523 of the family's 1533-position model. The record is from RNAcentral.